UAUGUGAUCGUCUCUCGCAUAUCAAUAAGCGGAGGAAAAGAAACUAACAAGGAUUCCCCUAGUAACGGCGAGUGAAGCGGGAAGAGCUCAAAUUUGAAAUCUUAAAGGGUUUCCCUUUACGAAUUGUAGUUUAAAGAAGUGUUUUCUGUUGAGGUUUUGGUAAAAGUUCUUUGGAAUAGGACAUCAUAGAGGGUGAGAAUCCCGUAUUUGACCUUUACUUUCAACUUUGUGAUACACUUUCAAAGAGUCGGAUUGUUUGGGAAUGCAGUCCAAAAUGGGUGGUAAAUUUCAUCUAAAGCUAAAUAUUGGCGAGAGACCGAUAGCGAACAAGUACCGUGAGGGAAAGAUGAAAAGAACUUUGAAAAGAGAGUUAAACAGUACGUGAAAUUGUCAAAAGGGAAGCGUUUGACACCAGUGUUGUUUUUCUGAAAAUCAAUUAAAGAACUGUUUAUGCUAAGCUGUUUAGACUUUAUCAGCUAUCUGUUUAGUUUUGAGCUUUUCUUUAAUGCACUUUUCAGUUAACAAGUCAACAUCAAUUUCUUUUGCUGUAAAAAAGCUUGAGGAAGGUGGCUUGAGAUUCGUCUUAAGUGUUUAUAGCCUCUUGCCUAUGCAGUCGGAGAGAUUGAGGUCUGCAGCGUAGAUCCUUCGGGGCUAAAUGCAUUUGUGCUAAGUUAUAGCAUUUUAUAGACAACUUGUUGACUAUGAUUUGUCUUGUAGCUUACUCGCUUAUGUUAUUUUACCUACGCUUAGGAUGUUGAGCGCAUGUCUCUCUC
This 773-nucleotide ribosomal RNA is filed under the name uncultured Neocallimastigales. RNAcentral describes it as "partial large subunit ribosomal RNA". It matches the Rfam family "Eukaryotic large subunit ribosomal RNA", at positions 24 to 641 of the family's 3401-position model. The record is from RNAcentral. Lineage: Eukaryota; Fungi; Neocallimastigomycota; Neocallimastigomycetes; Neocallimastigales.